This 217-nucleotide long non-coding RNA is filed under the name Mytilus galloprovincialis (Mediterranean mussel). The record is from RNAcentral. Lineage: Eukaryota; Metazoa; Mollusca; Bivalvia; Mytilida; Mytilidae.
GGCGGUUGGAAACACUUCAUCAUGACAAAAUACCUAGAACUAAUUAGAAUUAUGGGAAAUACACAGAUGGAGUCUAUAGCGUGUGAUUUCGAGAACCGGGUAUGUUUCAUUAAAUUGCUAUUGUAUUAAUUACUCCACCGAUCAUUGUAAACAUUGAAGUGACCUCUGAAGGUACCUUACCUAUUUUAUUAUGGCAAUGGAAAUAUGCAACUUCUAG